AGGGUGUCUUCCUCCAUCUUCGAUUUGGAAAUACCAGAAAACAAGGUCUAGAUCAUUAAUAGAAUGUGCAAAUUUUUAGAGUAGUAGGUAAUGCAUGUUUAAGAACUGCCACUUCGAUAUAGAAAAUGACAUGUUUUAUCAUAUUUAUGGUUGUAUUUUACAAAAAACAGAAAACUUUUGUUUGAUCAAUUUUUUUUCAACUUUGCCACAUAAGGGAAGGCAACUCAAAUGCAAGAGCAGAUAAUUCAGAUUAAGGUACUUUUACAAUAGAAUGUGUUAGGAAUUUACCUU
This 291-nucleotide long non-coding RNA is filed under the name Mytilus galloprovincialis (Mediterranean mussel). Lineage: Eukaryota; Metazoa; Mollusca; Bivalvia; Mytilida; Mytilidae. The record is from RNAcentral.